RNAcentral lists this long non-coding RNA (486 nucleotides) under Capsella rubella. RNAcentral describes it as "long non-coding RNA (CRUB_LNC003129)". The record is from RNAcentral. Lineage: Eukaryota; Viridiplantae; Streptophyta; Magnoliopsida; Brassicales; Brassicaceae.
CGGAUUAUGCUUGGGGAGAACGUGUUAGGUAUGAGCAGACAGGAUUAAAAUCAUGAGUAGUUCUGAUUUUCACUUUUAAAUCAGAUAAGACUAGGUCUGGAUUCUUACUUGGGUUUGGGAUUGGAAUGAUUGUGGAAAGAAAGAAGAGAAACAGAAAAAGUUGUGUCCUUAGGAGUAGAAUGUUUUUUAAGAGGUUUAUACUCUAGUGAUUGAUUUUUGUGGGGAUAGCAUGAUAUACAGAGAAUGGUUCUGUUAUGUAAAGAAAGAGAAAAAGUUUUGAUGUCAUAACAUAAGUAGAAAACAGAACCAUAGUAAGGAAGAAAUCCCCUAUCCAUUAGUAUUGAUAAGAAACUUCUCCUAAGGCAAAAAGAAAAAAAAUGGGAAUGAUGUUGAAGAGUAGACUUAGGGAUCAUUCGGGUUUAGAUGAUUAGGAGUAAGCACUUGGGAACCAUUUGGUAGUCAAGGUUUUAUUCUUGUAUGCAUUUG